CACUCCUGCGGGAGGCAGCAGUGGGGAAUUUUGGACAAUGGGCGAAAGCCUGAUCCAGCAAUGCCGCGUGUGUGAAGAAGGCCUUCGGGUUGUAAAGCACUUUUGUCCGGAAAGAAAUCCUUGGCUCUAAUACAGUCGGGGGAUGACGGUACCGGAAGAAUAAGCACCGGCUAACUACGUGCCAGCAGCCGCGGUAAUACGUAGGGUGCGAGCGUUAAUCGGAAUUACUGGGCGUAAAGCGUGCGCAGGCGGUUUGCUAAGACCGAUGUGAAAUCCCCGGGCUCAACCUGGGAACUGCAUUGGUGACUGGCAGGCUAGAGUAUGGCAGAGGGGGGUAGAAUUCCACGUGUAGCAGUGAAAUGCGUAGAGAUGUGGAGGAAUACCGAUGGCGAAGGCAGCCCCUUGGGCCAAUACUGACGCUCAUGCACGAAAGCGUGGGGAGCAAACAGGAUUAGAAACCCUUGUAGUCCCAUGA
Molecule: ribosomal RNA, 475 nt
Filed under: uncultured organism
Description: partial 16S ribosomal RNA
Rfam family: Bacterial small subunit ribosomal RNA
Source: RNAcentral